CACGUAGGCGGCUUAGCAAGUCGGAUGUGAAAUCCCUCGGCUUAACCAAGGAAGUGCAUCCAAAACUGCUGAGCUUGAGUACUUAAGAGGAUCGCGGAAUUCCCGGUGUAGAGGUGAAAUUCGUAGAUAUCGGGAGGAACACCAGUGGCGAAGGCGGCGAUCUGGGAAGAUACUGACGCUGAGGUGCGAGAGCGUGGGGGAGCAAACA
Molecule: ribosomal RNA, 208 nt
Filed under: uncultured bacterium
Lineage: Bacteria
Description: partial 16S ribosomal RNA
Rfam family: Bacterial small subunit ribosomal RNA
Source: RNAcentral